RNAcentral lists this ribosomal RNA (403 nucleotides) under uncultured bacterium. RNAcentral describes it as "bacterial SSU rRNA". It matches the Rfam family "Bacterial small subunit ribosomal RNA", at positions 356 to 773 of the family's 1533-position model. The record is from RNAcentral.
GGGGGAUAUUGCACAAUGGAGGAAGCUCUGAUGCAGCAACGCCGCGUGAGGGAAGAAGGUCUUCGGAUUGUAAACCUUUGUCCUUGGUGACGAAACAAAUGACGGUAGCCAAGGAGGAAGCUCCGGCUAACUACGUGCCAGCAGCCGCGGUAAUACGUAGGGAGCAAGCGUUGUCCGGAUUUACUGGGUGUAAAGGGUGCGUAGGCGGCCCUGCAAGUCAGGCGUGAAAGGCGGAGGCUUAACCUCCGAGCUGCGUUUGAAACUGUGGGGCUUGAGGGAAGUAGAGGUAGGCGGAAUUCCCGGUGUAGCGGUGAAAUGCGUAGAGAUCGGGAGGAACACCAGUGGCGAAGGCGGCCUACUGGGCUUUAACUGACGCUGAAGCACGAAAGCAUGGGGAGCAAAC